GACCAGGUAAAAUUACUUUCUAAGAGUAUCAUUCUUAUUUCUGGGUUAAAGAGGCACCUUCCGGUAC
RNAcentral lists this transfer RNA (67 nucleotides) under Armadillidium nasatum. Its description in RNAcentral is "tRNA-Asp". The record is from RNAcentral. Lineage: Eukaryota; Metazoa; Arthropoda; Malacostraca; Isopoda; Armadillidiidae.